AUAGUCACGUGGCCCAUAUGGGAGGCGGCAGAGAAAUGGGCAGGGAAAAUGCCUCCCUAGUUCCCAGACCUGGAGGUGGACUGAGAACCAGCCACAGCUUAGUGCAUUUGCGGGGAACUGAAAACUGCACAUAACACAAUCACAACGGACAUGGAACCCGGUACCGCUGCCAAAGAUCGAGCCAGACCUGACUGUUGCUAUGGAAAGCCCUCCAAGCUAUGCUUAAGGACCAAGGCAUCAGCCAGCAGCUGGAGACCCAGUUCUGCUGAGUGGCUCUUUCUCCUGGCCCCUCCUGGGCCCUCUGGUCCUGAUCCUACUCUGCUUCUUCAGGAACCACUUUGGACACUUCCUGGAAGAGAAGUAUCCUUCCAAUUGCUAAACAACACCGUGACAUCUGCAGGCCUCUCAGCCCAAAGGUUUGAUUUUCUGAGAAAUUCACUCUGGUGUCUUGGGAAGCUGACUGGCUGCACUGGUUGGCUGCUAUUUCUGGAAGCGUCAGCUAUGAUCAUCCCAAAGCUUUCAUAGUGAGCCACAUGCUUGACUCGUAAGUGCUUUAGGUCAUGAGUUCAAGGAGUGUCUGCCUCUUUCCACGGAGAAUCUCUAGUCAGUGGAAGGGGUACGGAACCCAUCUGCAAAUAAAAAGACAGAGACAAUUAAAAAAAUAAAAGAA
Molecule: long non-coding RNA, 670 nt
Filed under: Vulpes vulpes (red fox)
Lineage: Eukaryota; Metazoa; Chordata; Mammalia; Carnivora; Canidae
Description: lncRNA (ENSVVUG00000001356.1)
Source: RNAcentral